Molecule: transfer RNA, 78 nt
Filed under: Dehalococcoidia bacterium
Lineage: Bacteria; Bacillati; Chloroflexota; Dehalococcoidia
Also listed under: 1 other name
Description: tRNA-Pro
Rfam family: tRNA
About the family: Transfer RNA (tRNA) molecules are approximately 80 nucleotides in length.
Source: RNAcentral
CGGGGUGUGGCGCAGCCCGGUUAGCGCACCUGCAUGGGGUGCAGGGGGUCGGAGGUUCAAAUCCUCUCACCCCGACCA